Molecule: ribosomal RNA, 485 nt
Filed under: uncultured bacterium
Lineage: Bacteria
Description: bacterial SSU rRNA
Rfam family: Bacterial small subunit ribosomal RNA
Source: RNAcentral
GAGAAGGUUAGUAGUACACUGGCUCAGGAUGAACGCUAGCAGAACGCCUAACACAUGCAAGUCGAACGGAUCUUCGGAUUAGUGGCAGACGAGCGAGUAACACGUACUAACUUGCCCUGAGAUGGGAACAACUAUAGAGAUAUAGCUAAUUCCCAAUAUGCUCACGAUGGUGAAAUCCCAAUGUGAGGAAAGAUUUAUCGCUCAAGGAGAGGGGUGCGUCCUAUCAGGUAGUUGGUAAGGUAACGGCUUACCAAGCCUAUGACGGGUAGCCGGUUUGAGAUGAUGAUCGGCCGCGAUGGGACUGAGAUACGGCCCAUACUCCUACGGGAGGCAGCAGUGGGGAAUAUUGCACAAUGGACGAAAGUCUGAUGCAAGCGAUUCUGCGUGGAGGAUGAAGCAUUACGGUGUGUAAACUCCUUUUCUGGUAGAAGACGAAUGACGGUAUACCAGGAAUAAGGGACGGCUAACUAUGUGCCAGCCGCUGC